CCCACCCCCAAAUUCCUCUUUUACAAAGAACUAUUUCUUUUUCUCUCUCAUCAUUCGUCUUCUUCAUUGAAAAAGAAAAUCAACAUAACUCUUCCACAUGCAUAUGAUUGAAUACUGGGAGGAGAUUUACACACGAAGAAUGUGGAGAAAGCCUAAUAAGAAUGCAAUUCCGACGAAAAAAAGUAGUACUUCUUAAAGAAUAAACGAAUUAUAGGAAAGGAGAAGAAAAGUGAAGCAAAGAAAAUUGGAAAUUCUCCUAAUAAAAAGGGAUUAAAGAGGAAAGGGAAAAUGGUGGAACCCUCUUCUGAUUCGUACUCAGAUUUUGUAAGCGAGAAAAAAAAGAAAAAAUUCAACAAAUGCAGAGCUCAUCGAAAUCGGCUCAUAGUGGUAGUUCUUCAUGGUUAAGCUCGUUGUCCCAGUUCCUACCCUAUAAAAGUCCAAUUUGGAGACUCUCUCCUUCACUCCUUGCAUCUCGAGUUUGGUUGAAACCCAAAACUCUUCCUUCUUCGAGUCAAAUUUGCUAUUGUUUCCAAGUUUAGAAAGUUGCUACAAAAUAAAAGGAAGCCAAGGCAUGCUAAAAUAUAGCUUCUACAUGUUUGGAAGACAUAAAUACGAGUCUCUAUACAUUCAAUAUACACUAGUAUACAUCAGAUGUAUACAAAAAUGGGAAUUGAGCAAAGAGGCCCAAUUGCAGCAGUUCUUGGGGUUUAAUUUGGGCUGAAACCCAAGUUAUUUACAACAACUAGACUUGAGCCUAAGUCAAUCACUUUCUUAGCUAUUUAACUUAUACUUAUUACUUAUUUGUGAUUUGUUUGUUUUAACUCUAACCCUUUAUUUGAUUUGGUUUAAUUAAAUUAGAUUUCC
This is a long non-coding RNA of Solanum pennellii, 864 nucleotides long. RefSeq lists it as uncharacterized. The record is from RefSeq and is a predicted model, not a curated record. Lineage: Eukaryota; Viridiplantae; Streptophyta; Magnoliopsida; Solanales; Solanaceae. The transcript is spliced from 3 exons.